Molecule: non-coding RNA, 753 nt
Organism: Schizosaccharomyces pombe (fission yeast)
Lineage: Eukaryota; Fungi; Ascomycota; Schizosaccharomycetes; Schizosaccharomycetales; Schizosaccharomycetaceae
Source: the annotation of a GenBank genome assembly
AGAUGAGAGGGAGAACACAAACAAAACAACAACCUCAUUUCGUCACAAUCGGAUAAGAAGUAAUGGAUUGUUUAAUGUUGAUAAUGAAAGGAAAGGAAAUGAAAAAAGGGUGGGUGAAAGAUGAGUUGUGUUGGAAUGUUUGUCUUGUUUUCCAAGCCUAUUCUAUCUUUUUUGACACAAAUAGUAACAUAUAUUACUUUUUACUUUUGCUAUCACUGGCAUCAUUCAACUCUUUUCACCUCCGAUUCCAUUCCAAUGUCCAAAUUUCCUUGCGAUUCUUGUUAGUUUUCGCCCCACCCAAAAAAUUCCCUUUCCCCCCCCCUUUUUACCACUAAACAACAACCGCAUAUCAUUUGCCGAGCAUCCCCGCUUCCCCGCCCAGCAUUUCAAUUACCCCUCCUUUUGAGAGGAGAGCUCGGCCGACCCAUGUCGGCCUGAGAAUUCGAGACCAAGGAAAAAAAUAUUGCAUGUCAACUUUAUGUGGCCAACCGCAAUGCAAAGAAGUGGAAAGCGGUGCGUAGCAGUGGAUAGCAAACGAUAAGGAGUGAGAUGAGAGAAAGAAAAAUAUAGAGAGAGAAAAACAUAGAGGGAUGGAGAAGAGACACAUGAUGGAAAUAAAAAGAGUAUGCGCGAUAUUUGAGUAUCGAAAAGUCAUUGAAAGUAUUAUUUGAUAAUUAAUUUUCUAAAAAAACCUUUUCACACAUUAUAGUUUCACUUGGAUUUUAUUCUCUGUUUACACUAGACGAUAUGUCU